GGAGUGCCAUGCGGGCCUGCCGCCGCGGGGGAGGGGGCCGCGCACAGGCCCGGGACGGCACCGCCGGAGGGCUGGCCAGGAGGAGGGGACUCGGCAACCACGGAGAGAGCAACUAUGCAUUUUGUGAAGAAACUGCUCUACUUUAAAAGUGGUGGGAAGUACCAAGCCAUUUUUACUGAUGAUUUGCUGACUUUACAUCCAUGAAUGCUGCAUGAACAACUGCAAGAUUCAUGAGAAAAUUUAAGUACCAACUGUUGUCAAAACAAGUUUUGACCAGUUGUGUGUACAGAUGGGGUCUUCGGCAUCCUAGGAUGUUUGUGAAAACUAAAAAAGGGACCCCCUUUUCACAGUGGGAUGGCUUGUGAAAAAUCAGACCAGAGGGCUUGACUGUAUUAUAAACAUAUCACAACUCUGGGUGGGGGAAGCUUAUUCUUCGAAUUGCCUGCAUAGAGAACCUUGUUGUAAAGUUUCAUGUGUGGCAUGACAUUUCACUGGAGUUCACGUGAAUAAACUACCUUCCCAAACA
Tyto alba (common barn owl) is the source of this 526-nucleotide long non-coding RNA. RefSeq lists it as uncharacterized. The transcript is spliced from 2 exons. The record is from RefSeq and is a predicted model, not a curated record. Lineage: Eukaryota; Metazoa; Chordata; Aves; Strigiformes; Tytonidae.